RNAcentral lists this unclassified non-coding RNA (374 nucleotides) under uncultured bacterium. Its description in RNAcentral is "contains 16S-23S intergenic spacer region". The record is from RNAcentral.
UCACCGUUUACACGGGCAGUUUCUCUAGAGUCCCCGGCUUUACCCGCUGGCAACAUGGGGCGGGGGUUGCGCUCGUUGCGGGACUUAACCCAACACCUCACGGCACGAGCUGGCGACAGCCAUGCACCACCUGUGAUGGUGUCCCGAAGGAAAACCGUGUUUCCACGGCUGUCACCAACAUGUCAAGCCCAGGUAAGGUUCUUCGCGUUGCGUCGAAUUGAACCACAUGCUCCGCUGCUUGUGCGGGUCCCCGUCAAUUCCUUUGAGUUUCAACCUUGCGGUCGUACUUCCCAGGUGGAUUACUUAAUGCUUUCGCUCAGAGGCGUGCUGUGUAUCGCACACUUCGAGUAAUCAUCGUUUAGGGCGUGGACUAC